This 770-nucleotide ribosomal RNA is filed under the name uncultured organism. Its description in RNAcentral is "SSU rRNA". It matches the Rfam family "Bacterial small subunit ribosomal RNA", at positions 28 to 812 of the family's 1533-position model. The record is from RNAcentral.
GACGAACGCUGGCGGCGUGCUUAGCACAUGCAAGUCGUACGGUAAGGCCCUUUCGGGGGUACACGAGUGGCGAACGGGUGAGUAUCACGUGAGUAACCUGCCCACAACUUUGGGAUAACGCUAGGAAACUGGUGCUAAUACUGGAUAUGUGCUCCUGCUGCAUGGUGGGGGUUGGAAAGCUCCGGCGGUUGUGGAUGGACUCGCGGCCUAUCAGCUUGUUGGUGGGGUAGUGGCCUACCAAGGCGGCGACGGGUAGCCGGCCUGAGAGGGUGACCGGCCACAUUGGGACUGAGAUACGGCCCAGACUCCUACGGGAGGCAGCAGUGGGGAAUAUUGCACAAUGGGCGCAAGCCUGAUGCAGCAACGCCGCGUGCGGGAUGACGGCCUUCGGGUUGUAAACCGCUUUCAGCAGGGACGAAGCUUUUUGUGACGGUACCUGCAGAAGAAGCACCGGCUAACUACGUGCCAGCAGCCGCGGUGAUACGUAGGGUGCGAGCGUUGUCCGGAUUUAUUGGGCGUAAAGGGCUCGUAGGCGGUUGAUCGCGUCGGAAGUGGAAACUUGAUGCUUAACGUUGAGCGUGCUUUCGAUACGGGUUGACUUGAGGAAGGUAGGGGAGAAUGGAAUUCCUGGUGGAGCGGUGGAAUGCGCAGAUAUCAGGAGGAACACCAGUGGCGAAGGCGGUUCUCUGGACCUUUCCUGACGCUGAGGAGCGAAAGCGUGGGGAGCGAACAGGCUUAGCUACCCUGGUAGUCCACGCUGUAAACGGUGG